This 432-nucleotide ribosomal RNA is filed under the name uncultured bacterium. RNAcentral describes it as "partial 16S ribosomal RNA". It matches the Rfam family "Bacterial small subunit ribosomal RNA", at positions 29 to 506 of the family's 1533-position model. The record is from RNAcentral.
AACGAACGCUGGCGGCAUGCCUAACACAUGCAAGUCGAACGAGACCUUCGGGUCUAGUGGCGCACGGGUGCGUAACGCGUGGGAACCUGCCCUUAGGUUCGGAAUAACUCCCCGAAAGGGGUGCUAAUACCGGAUAAUGUCUUCGGACCAAAGAUUUAUCGCCUUUGGAUGGGCCCGCGUUGGAUUAGAUAGUUGGUAGGGUAAAAGCCUACCAAGGCGACGAUCCAUAGCUGGUCUGAGAGGAUGAUCAGCCACACUGGGACUGAGACACGGCCCAGACUCCUACGGGAGGCAGCAGUGGGGAAUAUUGGACAAUGGGCGAAAGCCUGAUCCAGCAAUGCCGCGUGAGUGAUGAAGGCCUUAGGGUUGUAAAGCUCUUUUACCCGGGAUGAUAAUGACAGUACCGGGAGAAUAAGCUCCGGCUAACUCCGU